AAUCAACGCUGGCGGCGUGCCUAACACAUGCAAGUCGAACGCGAAAGCCCUUUCGGGGGUAAGUAGAGUGGCGUCCGGGUGAGUAACACGUAGGUAAUCUGCCUUCGGGUGGGGAAUAACCAGUCGAAAGAUUGGCUAAUACCGCAUAAUGCAGCGGCACCUAAUGGUGAUUAGUUGUUAAAGCGGGGGAUCGUAAGACCUCGCGCCUGAAGAGGAGCCUGCGGCAGAUUAGCUAGNGGUGAGGUAAUGGCUCACCAAGGCUUCGAUCUGUAGCUGGUCUGAGAGGACGGCCAGCCACACUGGCACUGACACACGGGCCAGACUCCUACGGGAGGCAGCAGUGGGGGAAUUUUGGGCAAUGGGCGAAAGCCUGACCCAGCAACGCCGCGUGAGGGAGGAAAUCCUUCGGGAUGUAAACCUCACAAGCAAGGGAAGAGAGCUCAGGGCCGAAUAAGCUUUGAGUCCGACGGUACCUUGCGUAAGCCACGGCUAACUACGUGCCAGC
RNAcentral lists this ribosomal RNA (505 nucleotides) under uncultured bacterium. RNAcentral describes it as "bacterial SSU rRNA". It matches the Rfam family "Bacterial small subunit ribosomal RNA", at positions 32 to 512 of the family's 1533-position model. The record is from RNAcentral.